AUUUGCAUUUUGCAACAGAAACAGCUUCUUAAUAUAGAGUAUUGUUUUACAGGCUAAUCUUUUUUUAUGUAAUGUAUUCAAAUGUAAUUAUAAUUAGGAUUGGGAUAAUACAAAAAUAUACUUUUUGCUUCUCAUCCUGAGUGCCAAACUGAUCAACUGCAUCCUAAUGGAACGUUCAAGAUGUGAUUCAGUAACUGAUACGGUAGUUGCAAUAAUUAUUUUUGACCAAAUUGAAUCCACAAAAUAAUUGAAGAAAUGGUCUUCAACUCCAAACCACCGUAUUAAUACCAGUAUACAAUUUAUAAGUCUAUUACAGCUGUUAACUUUAGAUGCUAAAUCAUAUUAUCACAACAUUAUCUUCAAUCAUGAUCAUCUUCCCGUUCAUCGGUAGCCGCUGGGCCGACAAUUUUGGAAACAUAGGUCUGUAGAAUGGAUUAAUAAAUAAUUGUUAUUAGUCCCCCUAUCAAAAUUUCUAUUCAGAAACCAUCCCCAAUAUUCAUCACACAACAUAUUCCUAAAGUUUCAUGCCGUUCUGUCAA
Molecule: long non-coding RNA, 539 nt
Organism: Nilaparvata lugens (brown planthopper)
Lineage: Eukaryota; Metazoa; Arthropoda; Insecta; Hemiptera; Delphacidae
Exons: 3
Source: RefSeq, a predicted model, not a curated record